Long non-coding RNA from Bubalus bubalis (water buffalo), 1191 nucleotides. RefSeq lists it as uncharacterized. The record is from RefSeq and is a predicted model, not a curated record. Lineage: Eukaryota; Metazoa; Chordata; Mammalia; Artiodactyla; Bovidae. The transcript is spliced from 3 exons.
UUCCUUUGCUCUUCAAUCACCCAGUAGGGUUAUUCCCAUUUUAUAGUUUCUGCAAGUUGGCCAAGGUCACGGAGGAGACUCCUGUGCGUUCCACCGCUAUGCACAACUUUCUGUAACGCCAUCUGCGCGCCUAAGGUUGGCUGCGCUCUAAAUAUCCUGUUGCGUUCGUGCUAAGUCGCUUCAGUCGUGUCCCACUCUUCGCGAUCCUAUGGACUAUAGCCCCGCCAGGGUCCUCUGUCCAUGCGAUUCUCCAGUCAAGAAUACUGGAUUGGGUUGCCAUGCCCUUCUCCAAAGUAUCCUGAACCUGGCAUCCAGACCUCAACAAGAUGGUUGUUUUGAGACAUUCAUUUGCCAUCUUCUGGGUCAGCGGGCUCUCCGAAUAAAGUCGUAUUCCCUGACUCACCCGGUAACUUUGACAAGAGAACCCAAUGGCGUUUGAAAAGGUACAGAUUCUUUCCCUUUAGGAACUAACUAAGAAGAAGGGAUUGAACCUGGGCCUCCUGCAUUGGGAGCAUGGAGUCUUAGCCUCUGGACCACCAUGGAAGUCCCCUAAGCAGAAUUUGUUGGAUUGAAGGCUGUUAAGGUGUGAAUGACGACUGAGGAUGCAGAUGAAGAAGUCAGCAGAGGUCUAGUUUUUAAAGACUUGGCAGGCCAGGUAAAAUUUUAAGCAGGGUCUUGAAUGGGUGACUCACACAUAUCUGCAAUUCAGGUAGAACUCUCUGAUGGCAAGGUGAAGGAUGGUUUGCGGGGAAACCAAACUCAAGAUACUGUGACAAGCUCUGAAGCUAUUGCAAGGAUCCAGGCUGCAACUGAUGGAGGAAUGAAUGAAUGCAGAGCGGGAGAGGAUGGAGGCAAAUUUAGGAAACAUUUGGGAGGCUGCUAUUUGUUGAAUGAGGACAUUAACAAGGGUGGAUAGUGUGUCAUUGGGGAAGUUGUUUGUUUGUUUUUUUUUUUAAAGAAAACAGUAUGAAUAGGUUUGACAGUGGCUUAUGUGGACGUUUGAGGGAUAUUUUCAGUAGACUGAAUGUGAGGCUAAGUGAGAUGCUUUAAUCAAUAUCAUACAAUCAUAUAGCACAAAACUGGACAUUUUGUGAGAUUAUGUGAAAAUAAAUAUCAAAUGUACUCUAUAUCUGAAUGAUUCUCCUGUGUAAACAUAUUAAACUCCCUAUAAAUUUUAAGCUACUGAUAAAC